RNAcentral lists this ribosomal RNA (389 nucleotides) under uncultured bacterium. RNAcentral's name for it is "bacterial SSU rRNA". It matches the Rfam family "Bacterial small subunit ribosomal RNA", at positions 30 to 421 of the family's 1533-position model. The record is from RNAcentral.
AUUGAACGCUGGCGGCAUGCUUUACACAUGCAAGUCGAACGGGGUGAAGGGGCAACUCUUCAUUCAGUGGCGAACGGGUGAGUAAUACAUCGGAACGUACCCCGUAGUGGGGGAUAACUCGGCGAAAGCCGUGCUAAUACCGCAUAUGCUCUACGGAGGAAAGCAGGGGACCGCAAGGCCUUGUGCUAUGGGAGCGGCCGAUGUCCGAUUAGCUAGUUGGUGAGGUAAUGGCUCACCAAGGCGACGAUCGGUAGCUGGUCUGAGAGGAUGAUCAGCCACACUGGGACUGAGACACGGCCCAGACUCCUACGGGAGGCAGCAGUGGGGAAUUUUGGACAAUGGGGGCAACCCUGAUCCAGCCAUGCCGCGUGCGGGAAGAAGGCCUGGUG